This 211-nucleotide ribosomal RNA is filed under the name uncultured bacterium. RNAcentral's name for it is "partial 16S ribosomal RNA". It matches the Rfam family "Bacterial small subunit ribosomal RNA", at positions 1290 to 1500 of the family's 1533-position model. The record is from RNAcentral.
AGUUCGGAUUGUAGGCUGCAACUCGCCUACAUGAAGUCGGAAUUGCUAGUAAUCGCGGAUCAGCAUGCCGCGGUGAAUACGUUCCCGGGCCUUGUACACACCGCCCGUCACACCAUGGGAGUCGGCAACACCCGAAGCCUGUAGUCUAACCGCAAGGAGGACGCAGUCGAAGGUGGGAUUGAUGACUGGGGUGAAGUCGUAACAAGGUAUC